AUGUAUAUUAUUUAUAAAUUAGAGAAAAUCUCACAAGCUAUUAUAUUUUUAAGAAUUUUACACGUUAUUUUAAAAACUAGGUUCAAUGCUUAUGUUUAUUUAGAAAAUCUGAUUAUUGCCAUCUGUUUUCACAUAUCUUCAGUGUUGUUAACAAUUCAUGGUGUGUGUUUCUGUGUCAGGGGCUGGAGGAAGCUGAAAAGAUGCAGUUUUAUCUUCAAAGGAAAGAUGAAUGUUGAAUAAAUGAAUAAAUGGUGCCUAAACUGUGACAACAUCACAUUGUUUCAAAUCACUCCAACUGUGUGGGAUCUGAGCACACCAGGUAAGUGCUCCAGCCACACAACAAUACUUUGUCAUCUCCCUCCUGCUACCCCACCCCCACCUAUCUGGCAUGUUCUUCCCCUAAAUAUCAACAUAGUUGUUUUCUUCCCUCCUUUAGACCUUUACUAAAUGUCACCUUCUGGGCAAGGUUUCUGAGGCUUCCUCCCUAUCCUUUCUAAAUUUGCACCUAUUCCUUCCACCUCACACUCUUUCCCUCCUUCUAUUCUUCAGUGCUUGUCACUCUUAAACUUGUUUACAUCAGUCUUCCUCCCCUUCAAACUGUAAGCUCCUUAUGGGUAGAAGCUUUGAAGAUCUAGUUUACAGCCAUAUCUAUAGGGCCUAGAAUAAUGUCUAGCACAUGGUAGGCAUUUAAUAAAUAUUCAAUGAAUGAGAAAAUGAGUCCAAAAUCUUUUAUAUAUGACUUUGUACUUAUGAGUAUGUCUGAUGUCCUGGAAAUAAAUGCAUUUCAAAAAGAUAAUGAAACUACCAUUUAAAGAACAGAUAUAUAGAACAAAUCAUUAUUUUUGUAACAUUCUGUGCAUUUCAAAGGCUAUGCUGUUCUGGUCUUUUCCUUCUUUAGGCUUUCUUCCUUUUUUUUUUUUUUUUUUUUUUUUAACAUAGCCAUUAUUUUCAGAAACAGCUCUGUUGGACUCUGCCUAAUUUUUGUUCAGAGCUCUAUUGUAAAGGAAUCUGUCUUUGAGGAUGCUGACCUUCUUUCCCGUAAUUGUCUUGCUUUUUAUUUUAUACUGUGCUCUUCCUUUGGGACCCAGUCUCUCAAAAGGUUUUCAUAUAUAGAUAAAAUUGGAUUUGUCUAAUGACUUUUAAUAAGGUGCUGUAAUUUAAAAUUUAACAAAAUCCAUGUGUGAAAAACAGUGCUGUUCUUUUGUGCAGACAGGUACACUGAGUGAUUGUAGUAAAAGACACUGCUGUGUUGGUACAAAUUUCUGUUAGGUACUCAGUUCUGCUGCAUGAAACAGAAAACCCAAAUAAUAGUGGCUUAAACAAGAUAGGGGCUUAUUUUUCUUAUGUAAUGAAUGAUGCUGGUAUUAGCUUAGUGGCUGAGGGUGUCAGGGCUGCAAUAUCUGCAAUUCUUUCAGCUCUUUUCUUUAGAUUUAAAGAAGGAAAAUGGAGGGAAAAAAAGAACAAAAAUCACUGUCAGCUGAGUCAAAUUCCCUUUUUCUGAAACUUCUCCAAACACCCAACUUUCACUUCCAAGCGUUGGCCUGCUCUAUAUCCCAUGGCCACCCCCAUCUGCAAGGGAGGUUGCUUUUUCUUCCUUUGGAGUCAACAAAAUUGGAAUUCCAUUAGUGAAGAAGGGGAGAAUGGAUAUAGAGUGGGCAACCAGCAGUCUCUGACAGAGUAAAAUAUACCUAAAAGGUAAAUAACAUUUUUAUCUGCCUUUUUUAGAAAUGAAAUUGACCAGGCCACAUCACUUGGAGGAAGUGUUUGGCAAAUUAUCUUAGGAAAUUAAUGUUUCAAGUUUUUAGAAAGCAUGGAAGUAAAAUAUUCUUUAUAAUAUUGUGCAAAUGUAGACUAGGGCAAAGAAGACAGCUUAAAUUCUACGCCAAAGAGCAAUUUGUAUAACAUCCAUGUGGUUGUGUCUGUUGAAAAACAUUGCCCAGAAAUAGUUCUAA
RNAcentral lists this long non-coding RNA (1952 nucleotides) under Macaca mulatta (Rhesus monkey). RNAcentral describes it as "lncRNA (ENSMMUG00000052781.1)". Lineage: Eukaryota; Metazoa; Chordata; Mammalia; Primates; Cercopithecidae. The record is from RNAcentral.